GACGAACGCUGGCGGCGUGCUUAACACAUGCAAGUCGAACGGAAAGGCCCUGCUUUUGUGGGGUGCUCGAGUGGCGAACGGGUGAGUAACACGAGAGUAACCUGCCCUUGACUUUGGGAUAACUUCAGGAAACUGGGGCUAAUACCGGAUAGGAGCUCCUGCUGCAUGGUGGGGGUUGGAAAGUUUCGGCGGUUGGGAAUGGACUCCCGGCUUAUCAGCUUGUUGGUGGGGUAGUGGCUUACCAAGGCUUUGACGAGUAGCCGGCCUGAGAGGGUGACCGGCCACAGUGGGACUGAGAUACGGCCCAGACUCCUACGGGAGGCAGCAGUGGGGAAUAUUGCACAAUGGGAGGAAGCCGGAUGCAGCAACGCCGCGUGCGGGAUGACGGCCUUCGGGUUGUAAACCGCUUUCGCCUGGGACGAAGCGUGAGUGACGGUAAUGGGUAAAGAAGCACCGGCUAACUACGUG
This 468-nucleotide ribosomal RNA is filed under the name uncultured bacterium. RNAcentral's name for it is "partial 16S ribosomal RNA". It matches the Rfam family "Bacterial small subunit ribosomal RNA", at positions 28 to 507 of the family's 1533-position model. The record is from RNAcentral.